Molecule: long non-coding RNA, 617 nt
Filed under: Equus caballus (horse)
Lineage: Eukaryota; Metazoa; Chordata; Mammalia; Perissodactyla; Equidae
Description: lncRNA (ENSECAG00000055614.1)
Source: RNAcentral
UCUGCAGAAACCAGCGAGGAAGCCUGGAUUAGUGAGAGGCCAUCUCUCCUCUAACUCCCAGGGGGAACAGCCCCCAGGGGAGGCCUGGCCUCCCAGUUUGCUCUUGGCCUCAAAUGAUCUUUCCCCACGUGGAAACCACAGACCCCAAGACUUGUGACCUUCCAGAUAUAACACACAAAGCCGGCUCACCAGGGACCCUGUGACUGAGCUCCAUAUUCUAGGGAGAGAGAGUGAGCAGCCCAGCCUGGCCAGGGAUUCGUCCCCUGUCCAGUGGGCAGUUCCACAAGAGCAAUGUGGGGGCCCUCCAUUUCUGCAGAGUUGGGGUGAGAGGCAAUUCUUGCAUUCCAGAGAGGUAAACUACAGAAACAAGGGAGCUACGCGGCCAGGAGGUUGGGCAGAACCAGGAGUGGAGGAUGGGGGCUGCAGAAACCUCCUGAAGCUGGGCUCCAGGUGAGGAGAAGCCCUGCUGGGAGGGCAGGGGAAUCCAGAAUAGACAUCCACACCCAUGAGACAGACAAUUUACUCACAGGUAAUGAAGAGUGGUUUGAACUUUUAUGUUAGACUUUCCCAUGAAGAAAAUCUAUAAUCUGAUAGACAGUGAUAGAGCAAAAAUGUCU